AUGAAUAACACAAAUUUCUCUGCUAUGAGUUGGAAUGUUAGGGGCCUGAACUCACGAGCAAGACGCUUUGCCGUGCACGAGCUCGCCGAAGCGCACAGGCCAUCCAUCCUCUGCCUGUAGGAAACGAAGAUCAAAACCUGGCCCGCCGGCAUUGUUCGUGAGCUCGGCGGCACCUCCCUCGAGGGAUGCGCGGUCUUGCCUGCUGCUGGCACAAGGGGUGGCAUUGCAAUCCUCUGGAACACACGCCUGCUUGACGUCGCCACCCACUCUGUGGGCUAUUUCUCGAUCACAGCCAAGGUUUCUUCAGUUCAGGGCAAUUCGUUGUUCUGGCUCACGACCGUUUACGGGCCUGCAGAUAACGCCCGCAAAGAUGCAUUCCUGGCUAAGCUGACACUCGCCGCUCCGCCCAGGGGAGAGCCGUGCCUGAUCACUGGCGAUUUCAACGUCAUCUACGAAGCGCGCAACAAGAGCAAUCUCAACCUGAACAAAAGAGUUAUGGGGAAAUUCAGAAGGGCCAUCGACAUUGCUGGCCUGAAGGAAAUCAAGUGUAAGAAUGGGCGGUUCACUUGGUCGAACGAGAGGGAGGACCCGACCCUGGUGAGCAUCGACAAGAUGUUUUGCAACACUGAAUGGGAUGUUCUUUUCCCCAAUCACAUGCUGAUGGCUGCCUCAACGGCCUGCUCCGAUCACUGCCCCCUGCUUCUGGCCAACACGGCGGCUCCCGCGCGCAGGCUGAAAGUGCAACUAUCCCUGGGUGGUUUUGGUAAUUACUAA
Molecule: ribosomal RNA, 774 nt
Filed under: Triticum aestivum (bread wheat)
Lineage: Eukaryota; Viridiplantae; Streptophyta; Magnoliopsida; Poales; Poaceae
Description: partial small subunit ribosomal RNA
Source: RNAcentral